UACAGAGGGGGCAAGCGUUGUUCGGAAUUACUGGGCGUAAAGGGCGCGUAGGCGGCCUUGUAAGUCCUGUGUGAAAUCCCCCGGCUCAACUGGGGAACUGCACAGGAGACUGCUUGGCUUGAGUUCGGGAGAGGGAAGCGGAAUUCCGGGUGUAGCGGUGAAAUGCGUAGAUAUCCGGAGGAACACCGGUGGCGAAGGCGGCUUCCUGGACCGACACUGACGCUGAGGCACGAAAGCGUGGGGAGCAAACAGG
Molecule: ribosomal RNA, 253 nt
Filed under: uncultured bacterium
Lineage: Bacteria
Description: partial 16S ribosomal RNA
Rfam family: Bacterial small subunit ribosomal RNA
Source: RNAcentral